This 229-nucleotide long non-coding RNA is filed under the name Coturnix japonica (Japanese quail). RNAcentral's name for it is "lncRNA (ENSCJPG00005012626.1)". Lineage: Eukaryota; Metazoa; Chordata; Aves; Galliformes; Phasianidae. The record is from RNAcentral.
UUGGGUCCAGUGCGAGGAUGAUCAGCUGAGCAGCAGAGCAAUGAGGACUCAGGACUAAUAUCAGAGUGGUAGAGAUGAUACAUCUGGAACAAGUUUUAUGGAAAAGUCAGUUAUUGUGCACAGUACCCAGCCUGAACCAGUGAUCCUGAAACCAGCAGUUUAUAGCAGAAAUUUCCCUAGUGCUCCUGCACGCACUUUCCUUUGCUACUGAAGCCAAAGAAUAGAAACA